RNAcentral lists this ribosomal RNA (425 nucleotides) under uncultured bacterium. RNAcentral's name for it is "partial 16S ribosomal RNA". It matches the Rfam family "Bacterial small subunit ribosomal RNA", at positions 354 to 796 of the family's 1533-position model. The record is from RNAcentral.
GUGGGGAAUCUUGCGCAAUGGGCGAAAGCCUGACGCAGCCAUGCCGCGUGGAUGAUGAAGGUCUUAGGAUUGUAAAAUCCUUUCACCGGUGAAGAUAAUGACUGUAGCCGGAGAAGAAGCCCCGGCUAACUUCGUGCCAGCAGCCGCGGUAAUACGAAGGGGGCUAGCGUUGCUCGGAUUUACUGGGCGUAAAGGGCGCGUAGGCGGACAUUUAAGUCAGGGGUGAAAUCCCGGGGCUCAACCUCGGAACUGCCUUUGAUACUGGCUGUCUUGAGUUUGGGAGAGGUGAGUGGAACUCCGAGUGUAGAGGUGAAAUUCGUAGAUAUUCGGAAGAACACCAGUGGCGAAGGCGACUCACUGGCCCAAUACUGACGCUGAGGCGCGAAAGCGUGGGGAGCAAACAGGAUUAGAAACCCUUGUAGUCC